CUGAAUUCUUAUCCGGUGAAUCCGUGUUUUUAUUAUUCUUAUUCGGAUCUUGGGUUUUUGGAUAUCCGGGUAUCGAAUAUCCUUCUAAAAAUUGUAAUAUCCACCGGAUAUCCAGAUCCAGAUUUGGAUCCUUAAAAUAAAAAAAAUAAUAUUAAAAUAUAUUAAAUAUUAACAAUAAUUUAAAAAUAAAAGUAUAUAUAAUAUUUUUAAUUAUAUCUAUGUUUACUAUUACAAAAAUUAAUUUAUAUAUUAGUAUAGAAAUAAAAAUAUAACAAGUAUAGAAAUAAAAAUAUAAUAAAUAAAAUUAGUUUUUUUUUAAUAUAUAUUCUUAUUUUAAAAUAGUUAUCAAUAAAAAUUACGGAUCCGGAUAUCCAGACUAAAAAAUUAAGAUAUCCGGAUUCAGAUUUGAUCUGGACGGAUCCAACAUUUUACUAUCCGGAUUCGGAUCCGGCUCCUCUGGAUAUCCGGAUUUUUGGAGCGGAUAAGACUUGAAUCUGACACAGGAGCUUCUGAAUGAUUAUGUAGGCUCAUGUCUGAAUGUAGCAAUUUUGCUCCUCAAAUCUUCAGCUUUUGAUUCAUCAAAGAAGUUUCGCAGGAAAACAUUCUUGAUGUCACUCCAGGAAGUAAGAGAUCCUGGUGAUAGCUGUUUAAGCCAAUGCGAAGCAUCUCCAACAAGUGAUACUUGAAGAGCUUGCAAAGUAGAUAGUCCUCAGGGACUUCAUUUGAUUUUAUAGCAGAGAAAAAAAUCCUCACACCUCUCCAGAUGGUCCAUAGGAUGCUCAUGUGGUAGACCACAAUAAGGUGUCUAUCCCACAAGUGUAAAGUUUGGGGCUUCAGCUCGAAAUCGUGCCUCUGGAUAGCUGGAGGACGGAUAGCAUAUCUUUUAGCGUAUUAUUGGUCUGAACGGUUGUAGUCAGCCAAUGUUCUUGGUCGAGCAGCCUCAUUUACAACAUUAGCGAGAGCUGUAGCUAAAUCAAUGGGAUCAGGAAUUGCAGCCCCCUGAUCAUCUAUCCUCUGACCUGCUGCAUUACGCAGAUGACCUUCCUGGUCAUGCAAGUCUCCAUUCUCGUCCCGUGUGAGAAUAACUGUCGCAACCAUGUCUCGCGGCUGAGUAUCGAUCAUGCAGCUGAUGUGGUAUCGAUCGAUAUUGGGUGGGUGGUGUCGGGCGACGGAGGAGUAGUCUCAGUCGACGGUGAAGAUCGAGUGUCGAUCGAUGAACGGAUGUGUGUGUCAGUCGAUGUGGUGUUUCGAGAAUCGGUCGAUGGUAGAAUGUUACUAUUGAUCGAUACAGAACGUUACUCCUUGUGGAUCGUGCGUUCCAAGAGGGCAGGAUCUGGGGAAAUUAGUGGUGAUUUCAUGUUGCUUCUGGUACUACUAGGCAUACACGUGAAAAUACAAGAAUUUUUUUUUAUCAGUUUUUGCAAGAGUAAAGAAAAUCUAGAAGAAAUCAGAAUAAACAUGAUCUAAGGGCGAACAAAGCUCUCCGACAACCUCGCCAAAUUUUAUCUCACUCAAAUUACCCUAAGGAAUGAAUUAUUCUCUGAAAUAAGAGGAUCAGUUGUAAUACUUAUGGAUCAAAUCCACAGAGCUCGGGCAGAUAAUAAAUCCUAAAAGAAGUGAUUAAGCUAGGCUGAAUAUCAUAAAUCAAAAUAUGCAGUGGUGAACAAGUAAUUGUUCAGAUGAGUUGAUUGGGGUUUUAGACAAUAAUAAUAAAAAAGUUAAGCUUAGGGUUUCUAUUCAGGAUUUCAGGAUUACAUAGGCAUGGAAACUAACAUGCAUGCAGGAUAUAUAAGAACUCAACAAAAGCAAUAGUUUGUCAACUUCCGUAUUUUUAGACUAUAUAUUGUCUAGAUCCUCAAACUCAGGUUCCGCUUGCUAGUAUGAAGAAAGUGUCGAUCGAUUACUCUACAAGAGUAUCGAUCGAUACACCUUUCGUCACGUCGACUGAUUACUCUAUAGGACUAUCGAUCGAUGGGCUUCUAGAGAAGUUUUAAGAUCGGGUUGAACUAUGUUCACUAGUCUUCUUAGACCAACUUCCGCAUGUAUCUAGCAACCUAGCUCAAAGAAUCAAUUCAGGGAGAAAACCAGGCUUUCGCUUGCGCCUCCUAUCCUAAUAUCAAGGUUCUAGUUAUCUACUCUAGAAACAAGCAUUAAACACAACUCUCAUGAUGAAUAUUUCUAGCAACUUAGUAAUUCCAUAUUUUGGGCUAAUCCCUCAUUUCCUGUUUGAACCCUAAACCUAAUAAGGUGAUUUACUCAGACAUAGCAGAGUAAAGCCUAUCAAUAGAAUAAGAAAACUUCAUAGAUAGAUAGAUAGAAAUCAAUGGAGUUCUAAGACAAAUAUCUGAAGGAGUUAUACUCUUCUCUGCAAUCUAAAACUAAAAACCUUUUACUGUGAAGAAUAGAAAAUAAGAAAGUGUGUGUUGCUGAAUACAAUGACGGUGUACAUAAAUAUUAGGUUAAAACUCGCCAUGGGUAUUCUUAUAAUUUGGUAUGAUCUUGGGCUUCAAGUCGGCUGUGACCAAAGUGGGUUUCUGCGUACUCGCUGUCAAUCGAUAUCACAUGGUGUGUAUCGAUCGAUUGUGGUGUCUCUCUGUCGACCACUUGUGCUGGUCGACUGUCAGCUCGGGUGAAAUCUCUAAAGUACUCAAAUGCUUCAAAAUCUCUAUUUUACUCCAAAUGACUCCUAAAUCUAUAAGCAUACUAAAUAGACUCCAAAACAUUAUAAUUAUAUCUUAAAACACUUCUAUACUAUGGUUAAAAGUGGUUAAAUUCCAUGGUAUAUCAAGGUCCACUCACACGGCGGUCGGGGCUCUGAUCAAGAUGGCUAACCGGCUCUAAUACCACUUGCAACACUCUUAUCCGUCCCUUCCAUUUGCCCACAAUGAUCUCUCUCUAGGAUCGAGAACCCACCCUUUAUGAUGGUUCAAAGCGUUUAUCUUUCUGAGGCAUGAAAAUUUUCUUUGACCAUGCAAUCACUACGUGAUCUCUCCUCAUGUUUUGGUAUUACUCACAUGAUUUCGAAAAUAUAUUUCUAAUAAGACACCAUUCUUCCACUAUUUCAGUUUAAACAUUUAACGAUAAAGUUUUUUUCACAAGUUAACAAAAGGACAAAUUCUCUUUAGUGACAUAGUUAGCCAAUUUUUUUUUCUUUAACUCUCUCCACGUGCACCAUCAUAUACCAUAAAUUAUAAUGUUACAAUUGCCCUUCCAUACUUUUGACAUCAUUUAGUGUAAACGAUGGGUAUGAGUGUCUCUUGUGACCCCAUUUUUAGCCAUGGUAUAUGAGUAUUUGAAGUAUUAUAUGGGUUUGGAGUAUGUUUUAGAGUAUUUUCAGGUUCAGGUAUAUCCUCGAGAACUUUAGUGAUUUUGGAGCUUUUUGAGAUGCAGAACUACACAGAUGCGUUAGAUGUUUAGCUAUUGAUGGAGAUUUUACCACCGUGUGAUUGAGCUGAUAUUUUGACACAACAUAUAUAUUUUAGUUAGUUUUCCAAUACCACCAUUUUAAGGUCAAUCUAACGGUUAGAUCUGAAGUUAUGCCCGUAUUACUGAAGAGUGGUACGUCUGCCUCGCAAGAUGAAGCUGUCGAGAAGAUGAAGCAACAUCGAUCGAUGGAGCACCCCUUAAAUCGAUCGACGGUGAUCCCAGAAGAUGGACCUUGUCUGUUUAUGACCAAAUUAAUCCCAGAAGUUAUCACAAAUUACCAAAAUGCUUCUGCACGACUAAAAGUCUUAUUUUACUGUUUUCUAAGCCAUUGUUGACGGCCAUGCUUAUUCUAUUGUGGAGAGAGAGCUUAUGAUUGGAGAGAGAUAUCUGUACACCUUGAGAGAGGGAAUAUCUUAUACUUCCUUUGUUACUUUACUCUUUUCUGUUAUUUAUUAUUCUAUUGCAGUAUUUUUCAGACCAUCAUAAUGUUUCUUAUGAAUAUGUCUCAAUAGUUCUCUUGUUACAUUUAGGGUUUUCAAACGAUGAUUUAUGGUUUGUUAAAAUUUAACAUGUUGCUAGGAUGAUUUAGUUAGUUCUUCAUUUAGUUGAUCUUAACAUCUGGAUGCAUACGAGAGUUGGUCUAGGUAGUAGAGAACAUAUCAAACCUGUUCGUAAAGCUUGCUGGAAAGAAUAUCGAUCUACACAACGAUAGUUGUAUCGAUCGACAUUUCGAAAGGUGUAUCGAUUGAUUUUCAUAUAGAAAAAUCGAUCGACAAUUUCUCAUGAUCAAUAAACGAGAGUUGAGAUCCGAGAUCCAGUCAUUAGAUAAUCUACACAACAAAAGUUGAAUAGAUUAUACUUUAAAGUUUGAGUCGAGAACAAUUAAUAUUUUUGAAUCCCUGAUAACCUGAUUAGUUUGCAUACUUAUCAUACCUCAGAAUUUACCUGAAUCUAGUUGUUUUCUUAAAUUAUUUAAAACCUCAAAUCAAUCAACUGAAUAACUAGUUUGUUCGCCAUACUAUUUAUUGUUUUAAAUCAUUACUGUCUAGCAUUACUUCGGAAACAACAAAUUUGUUGAGUCUCUGUGGAUUCGAUCUCUAAGUACUCCAACUGAACAUCUUAUUUGAAAUAGUGGCUUGAAGGUUAGUUCGAGCAUAUCACCUUCAUCCUCUGAACGUCACUCUCACAACUCAUAAUAACACUAGAAACUUAUUUUUCAUUAUAAUGGUAAUCACAUUUAUAUCGAAGAUCUUUAUAUGUUAGGCAAAUUGAGAAUUCUGAUUAACGGGAUAAGACUGUUUAUGUGGAAUCAAUAUUCGAGUGAGGGUGUUCGGGAAUGGAUGCGAUGGAGGUUAUUACAGCCAAAGACUUUGAAGCCUGAAACAGAACUAUAGAGUAUACUUUCACUUUUCUAAGACUCACUUGACAAUUUUACUAACUAAAUCCCCCUUACGUUUUUGCAGGACAUGAAGAGUGUUUGUGCCACCACUAGAAUCUUCACAGAACCAAUUCAUAUUUAUUCAUAUGGUUUUUGUUUUGUGUCUUUCAAAAUUAGGUUCACCCAUUACUAAGAACAAAAAUUUGCACUUUACAUAUUUUCUUAAGAUUUUGCAGGGGAGGUAUAUUUUCCAAGUAAACGAAGGACACAAUGCUAUCUCCAUCUUAAACGUUUGCUUUUUUGUUUCAAAUGGCACUGAAUUAUAGUUAUUUUGAUCCUCAUGAUUUGUGACUUACCAAUUAGGCUUACCCAUUAUAAGAACACAGUGUUUGCUUUUUACAUUUUUCUAAAAGAUUUUGCUGGAAAUGAUUCUUAAAGGAAAGACAUGAGACCGUGUUAACAUUUAAAGGUUUGCUUUGUUCUUUAAAGUUAGACUAUGUUAUAUUUACUUCAGUUUCGUGCUUAAGAAAUCUGCGAAGGGUUUAGGAUGAUCGUUUACGGUCUCUGUCAGUCUUCAGGUCAAAGCAAACCUUUACUCUCCCAUUUUUUUAUUUGAUUUGUUGUUUCAUUGUCUCUGACUUGGCUUCACAAGCAGAACACUUAGCUUUAUAUAGCUACACGGAUGUUGGUGAUGGCCUUGAGUUCCACCACUUCGAUCAUUGCUCCCUCGACAUCCUUGAAGAGUAAGUUUCUUUCAUUUAUCCAAAUAUGUAUUUUGCUUUGUGUGGGUGUAUGUUUCUCCAAAUGAGUCGCAGAAUUUUUUUUUUCCGUUUUGGUUUUUAUCUCUCUUGCUUUCUCUAAGUGCUUUCUCUAAGUGAAAUGUCCUCUUUCUCUUUGGAAAUGUGUCAAUUUGUAUUUCAAAAAUGGCUACUACGAAACUGAAGAGUCAUUCCUUGGGCCUGCAUGAACAACAAAGUGUAAGGACUAAUUAAUUUCAACAGUACAUUCGUUUUCUCUGUUACUGAUGCUACUCUUUUCAUGUGAUAUUCACCUAAAGGUACAGUUACUUGGCUAAUACGUAAGUAAUAUUUAUAUUGGUCACAUCAAACUAAGAUACUAAUUAAUUUCACAUUAAACUAAGCUCUUGUGACACACCAUUUCAUACUCUCUCUCUCUCUCUCUAUGUUUAUGAAGAAGGCUAAGGUUCUUAAAGCUCUAUCUAAGAACUUGCACUGUUUUCAAGCAUAUGGUUUGGUUGCUGAGAUUAACUACAAGACAAUCUCGAAUCAAGCAGGAAGCAGCAUAAAUUCUGUUAAGAAACUGGGUCAGUUGAAAGAAAAGGAGGAACUAUUGAAGAAACAGAAGAAAGAUGAAAAGCCAAAAACUAAAGCCAUGAAGAUGAUGACUGAAAUGAAAUCUGAAUCAAAUUGCAAUGACUGUAACAUAACAUAAGUUGUUGGCGUGAGCUAUUUUAGAAAUAAGGCUAAACUGAUUCGUGAGCGUCACAGCCGUAAUCUGAAGAAGCAACCAUUCCUACAAUCAAAGCGACUAAUUCCUAUAAGCCCCAAGAAUAUGAAAAUUCUUCCAAAGAACACCGGUGAAGCAUUGAAGCAAGCUCUGCUACAAUCAGGUUCUGUAUCGACAGCCUUUCCCUCGGUUGUUAGUCAUGGACAUAGAUCAUGAAUAUGAUAGAAAUAGUUUAAUUUGGUGGAUUUCCGUUGAAGAGAGUAGAAGUUUGUAUGGGAGGAAAGUGCAAGAAGUAGGAGCUGUGUUUGGAUGAGUUUCAGAAGGCAUUGACGGGCAUAGAAGGAUCCAGUGUGGUUUGCGAAUGCAUGUAGGAAUGUUGAGAUGCAAAACGUUUAGAGUCUUGAACGAGACUAACGAUGUGAAUCAUGUGAUGGUCCAUUGUUCCAUAUCUAUAACUUGAAUAAACUAUAGUUUAUAGCUACAAAAUGCAUACAUUUACACUAAAUGAUGUCUAAAUUAUAAACUUAGAAAUA
Long non-coding RNA from Raphanus sativus (radish), 6804 nucleotides. RefSeq lists it as uncharacterized. Lineage: Eukaryota; Viridiplantae; Streptophyta; Magnoliopsida; Brassicales; Brassicaceae. The record is from RefSeq and is a predicted model, not a curated record. The transcript has 2 exons.